Salvelinus namaycush (lake trout) is the source of this 226-nucleotide long non-coding RNA. RefSeq lists it as uncharacterized. The transcript has 3 exons. The record is from RefSeq and is a predicted model, not a curated record. Lineage: Eukaryota; Metazoa; Chordata; Actinopteri; Salmoniformes; Salmonidae.
AUGAAUGGCCAAUACACACAAUAGAUUGAUUGGAAAGGUGAUUUCCCACAGUCAAAGUCCUGCAAUAAGAGCUAAGACAGAUGUUAUGGAUGUUAAACUGGUGCAAAACCCUUGUGUCCUGAUUCAACAGACACCUACCUCGACUGCCAAGCUGUCCUCAAUUGGGGAAACCUCUGUCAGGGACAAUGUCCUCAGGAUUAUGGAGUGUGUGUUUCUAAAAGGUUGU